AACGAACGCUGGCGGCAUGCCUAACACAUGCAAGUCGAACGAGACCUCAGGGACUGGUGGCGCAUGGGUGCGUCACGCGUGGGAACCUGCCCUUAGGCUCGGAAUUACUCCUUGAAAGGGGUGCUAAUAUCGGAUAACGUACUCGGACCAAAGAUUGGUCGUGCUUGGAGGGGCCCGCGUUGGUUUAGCCGGUUGGUAGGGGAAAAGCCUACCAAGGCGUCGAUCCAUAGCUGGGUUGAGAGGAUGGUUCGCCACACUGAGACUGGGACACGGCGCAGACUCCUGCGGGAGGCAGCAGUGGGGAAUAUUGGACUAUGGGCUGAGUCCUGAACCAGCAAGGCCUGGAAAGUGAUGAAGUCCUUAGAGAUAUAAAGCACUUUAACCCGGGGUGAUAAUGACAGUACCGAGAGAAUAAGCACCGGCUAACUCCGUG
Molecule: ribosomal RNA, 433 nt
Filed under: uncultured bacterium
Lineage: Bacteria
Description: partial 16S ribosomal RNA
Rfam family: Bacterial small subunit ribosomal RNA
Source: RNAcentral